This 163-nucleotide ribosomal RNA is filed under the name Retama monosperma. RNAcentral describes it as "5.8S ribosomal RNA". The stretch from base 1 to 133 matches the Rfam family "5.8S ribosomal RNA", at positions 24 to 154 of the family's 154-position model. From Rfam's summary of the family: 5.8S ribosomal RNA (5.8S rRNA) is a component of the large subunit of the eukaryotic ribosome. It is transcribed by RNA polymerase I as part of the 45S precursor that also contains 18S and 28S rRNA. Functionally, it is thought that 5.8S rRNA may be involved in ribosome translocation. Lineage: Eukaryota; Viridiplantae; Streptophyta; Magnoliopsida; Fabales; Fabaceae. The record is from RNAcentral.
GCUCUUGCAUCGAUGAAGAACGUAGCGAAAUGCGAUACUUGGUGUGAAUUGCAGAAUCCCGUGAACCAUCGAGUCUUUGAACGCAAGUUGCGCCCGAAGCCAUUAGGCUGAGGGCACGCCUGCCUGGGUGUUGCACAUCGUUGCCCCUUUGCCUUGGCCAUGU